RNAcentral lists this ribosomal RNA (182 nucleotides) under Solobacterium sp. Its description in RNAcentral is "partial 16S ribosomal RNA". It matches the Rfam family "Bacterial small subunit ribosomal RNA", at positions 1 to 178 of the family's 1533-position model. Lineage: Bacteria; Bacillati; Bacillota; Erysipelotrichia; Erysipelotrichales; Erysipelotrichaceae. The record is from RNAcentral.
CAAAUGAAGAGUUUGAUCCUGGCUCAGGAUGAACGCUGGCGGCGUGCCUAAUACAUGCAAGUCGAACGCUGGAGAUCUAGCUUGCUAGAUCGAAGGAGUGGCGAACGGGUGAGUAAUACAUAAGCAACCUACCCACGAAGACUGGGAUAAUCUCUGGAAACGGGGACUAAUACCGGAUAGGU